Molecule: ribosomal RNA, 432 nt
Filed under: uncultured bacterium
Lineage: Bacteria
Description: partial 16S ribosomal RNA
Rfam family: Bacterial small subunit ribosomal RNA
Source: RNAcentral
GAUGAACGCUGGCGGUAUGCUUAACACAUGCAAGUCGAACGGUCACUUCGGUGAUAGUGGCGGACGGGUGAGUAACGCGUGAGAAUCUGUCUUCAGGUCGGGGACAACAGUUAGAAAUGACUGCUAAUACCGGAUGUGCCUUUGGGUGAAAGAUUUAUUGCCUGAAAAAGAGCUCGCGUCAGAUUAGCUAGUAGGUGGUGUAAGAGACUACCUAGGCUCCGAUCUGUAGCUGGUCUGAGAGGACGAUCAGCCACACUGGAACUGAGACACGGUCCAGACUCCUACGGGAGGCAGCAGUGGGGAAUUUUCCGCAAUAGGCGAAAGCCUGACGGAGCAAUACCGCGUGAGGGACGAAGGCUUUUGGGUCGUAAACCUCUUUUCUCAAGGAAGAUGAUGACGGUACUUGAGGAAUAAGCAUCGGCUAACUCUGUG